GAAUGUGAGGGCAACUGGCUGCGACACCUGUUAUCCCAUUGAUCACUAGGGUUGAUUCUAUUGAUCUGGAUGGCUAAGGAGUUCUCCCCUUCCUCCCUUUCUCUUCCAUGUGCAUCCCUCCUGAAGUUCCAUACUUGGUCAAACUGGAAGACCUUCCUUGUUAGAGGAGGACCAGUCUUCCAUCAGGGGAUUAUCAGUAGCUAUGCUCCCCAGCUACAAACUCCAAAUGGACUCUCAAGUUCUUAUAUUUUUUAUAUUGAAGGUUAUGUGUCAGCCGGGCGUUGGUGGCGCACGCCUUUAAUC
RNAcentral lists this small nuclear RNA (303 nucleotides) under Mesocricetus auratus (golden hamster). RNAcentral describes it as "7SK RNA". It matches the Rfam family "7SK RNA". From Rfam's summary of the family: 7SK was discovered as an abundant small nuclear RNA in the mid-70s but a possible function has only recently been suggested. Two independent studies have found that 7SK RNA binds the CDK9/cyclin T complex (known as elongation factor P-TEFb). The record is from Rfam by way of RNAcentral. Lineage: Eukaryota; Metazoa; Chordata; Mammalia; Rodentia; Cricetidae.